This is a long non-coding RNA of Cyprinus carpio (common carp), 1022 nucleotides long. The record is from Ensembl. Lineage: Eukaryota; Metazoa; Chordata; Actinopteri; Cypriniformes; Cyprinidae.
GGUUAAACUGAGGUGUUUCCCGUAAAUAAUUAGGCUAAGUGUUCAUUUUCAUUUUUUGUAUUUCUUACAAAUAAAAUACAAGAUCAAUGCGAAUAGAGUAAAAAAUGAUUUUAAGUUUAAUUUGAUCCGUACUGUAAAGUGACCAUUUGAAUCUCCGCGGUGGUUUAGUUCCAGGCGGUUGGAGGCAGAGUGAGUGCGGAGGGAACUGACCUCUUCAUGGGGGAGAGAGGGGGGACUGAGCCCCUGCGUGACAUUAAUCUGCCCUGUCACCCUGUCUCUGGGAUCUGCACAGGAGCAUACGGCACAGGAAGCAUGUCCUAACUGGAAGGUUUCUGCACACGUUGCCGUCAGGACUGAAUUUACUGAGGCAGAAAGAGUCUCAAGUCUCUCUCGUUCCAGGUUAGUUACUCUCUUUUUCUUUCUCUAGUGUUUUAAAGGCAUAGUUCACCCAAAAUUGAAAAUUCUCUCAUUAAUUACUCACCCUCAUUUUGUUCCAAAACUGUAAGACCUUUGUUCAUCUUCGGAACACAAAUUAAGAUAUUUAUGAUCAUAUCCAAGAGCUUUCUGACUCUCCAUAGACAGCAAUGCAACUGAAACGUUUUAUGGCCCAGAAAGGUAAUAAGGACAUCGUUAAAAUAGUCCAUGUGACAUCAGUGGUUCAACCUUAAUUUUUAUGAAGUUACGAGGAUACAUUUGUAUGCAAAGAAAACAAAAAUAACCACUUUAUUCAACAAUUCUUCUCCCCUGCUUUACAUCUGCCACCAUAAUGUAUUCUCAAAAUAUUCUUGUAACUUUAUCAAAUUAAGGUUAAAUCACUGAUGUCACAUUAAAUAUUUUAAUGUUCUUACUGCAUUUCUGGGCCUUGAACGUGUCAGUUGUGUUGCUGUCUGUGCAGGGUCAGAAAGGAGAUUUCAUGAAAAAAAUCUUAAUAUGUGUUCCAACGAUGAACUAAGGUCUUAUGGGUUUGGAAUGACAUGAGGGUGAGUAAUAAAUGACAGAAUUUAAAUCUUUGGGUGAACUAU